ACACGACAAUAGCACACCCUGGGCAACCAGGGGCCGCAAAGCCGUGCGCCCGCCACACGUCAGGCGGGACGGCAGGCUGCCGAA
This 84-nucleotide non-coding RNA is filed under the name Elusimicrobiota bacterium. RNAcentral describes it as "Elusimicrobia bacterium c-di-GMP sequence". It matches the Rfam family "c-di-GMP-I riboswitch aptamer". Rfam says of the family: GEMM was predicted in a large-scale screen for bacterial structured RNA regulatory elements. Genes associated with GEMM are involved in a diverse array of functions, including chemotaxis regulation, signal transduction, secretion and chitin. The record is from RNAcentral. Lineage: Bacteria; Pseudomonadati; Elusimicrobiota.